GCCUGCAGGCUCCCAGCUCUCACAUCCCCUUCGACCCUGUGAAAUCCCAUCAACACCAACGUGCCAUCCUCGGGAGACCAACAAAUGGGAAAUAAGGUUUCCUUUUCGAGGCAGCCGUGCCGCCGAGGGACAGGCAGGGCCGGGUAGGACCUGCCAGCGGGAGCCAGGGAGAAACAAACAGCGGGAGAACGGAGCGGUGCCGCAUCCUCGGGCGCUCCCGACGGAGCAGCAGCUCUGCCAUGCAGGGAGAGCAGCCUCCCGAGGGGCUCUGCUGGCUCCUCCGAGGGAGGAUCCUCCCGUCACCAUCCAGCGGAGCUCCCACGCGGAGCUGAGCGCGUCCCGCGGGCCCUCGGCUGGUGACCUGCCCCAGCCCCUGUGCUCCUCCAUCCAACGGGGCUGGCUUGGGCACACCAGCAGCCAGCAAUUCCCCACAGGGAACCCUCACCCUGGCUGUGCUGGAUCGGCCCUGAGCACCUUCUGCACUGCAGGAGGAGCCCAGCACUGAGCUCUCCCCCACCAGCUGCAGAUGUGCCAUUCCCCAGUGCUGGCAGGUCCCCUGUGACUGUCCCAGGGGUGGCCACACAUCCUUGGCAUAAAACCGGCAUCUCUCUGAGCCACCAGGGCUGGGCUCCCCCAGGGACGUGCCAGCCUUGUGCUGGGGACCCCCAGCUCCAGCCCCUCGGCUUCACUGUCUCCCUCUCUCCGCCCUGGCAACAUCUCCUUCCCCUCACACAUAGAAGGAAUGAUAAGUAGCCAUAAUUUUGCUUCUGUAUUUGUGUCCCCAAAACUUGCAGCUAAUUCCUGUGGCUGCCAGCAUGGAGGCACUAAUACCUCUGAAAGACAAAGCAAUUAUUUCUAAACAUAGCUUGUUCCUUGCAUUGUCACCACCCAAACCACCCAACCCCUGGGCCGCUGUCAGCAUCUUCCUCUAACUAGCAGGGGGGGAAAGAAAAGAUAUUUUUUCCCAAAAAAUCACAUCCCUGCUCCUCCCCAGGUGACAGACACCAGUGCCUGACCCAGACAGAGGCACAUCCGCUGUGCUCCGUGUCUCCAGCUGGAUGGAGACACCGUGUCUGCCGCAGGACCCUCUGCAGCACCAGACCUUGUUAUCCUGUGGGUCUGCUCUCCAGACGCUAAAACGAGCCGUAAAAUGACGAGUGAAGUGAAAUGAGGGAUGU
RNAcentral lists this long non-coding RNA (1178 nucleotides) under Cyanistes caeruleus (blue tit). Its description in RNAcentral is "lncRNA (ENSCCEG00000017922.1)". The record is from RNAcentral. Lineage: Eukaryota; Metazoa; Chordata; Aves; Passeriformes; Paridae.